CCUACGGGAGGCAGCAGUGGGGAAUAUUGGGCAAUGGAGGCAACUCUGACCCAGCAACGCCGCGUGAAUGAUGAAGGUCUUCGGAUUGUAAAGUUCUUUUCUAAGGGAAGAAGAAAGUGACGGUACCUUAGGAAUAAGCCUCGGCUAACUACGUGCCAGCAGCCGCGGUAAUACGUAGGAGGCAAGCGUUAUCCGGAAUGACUGGGCGUAAAGGGUGCGUAGGUGGUUUGACAAGUUAGUAGCGCAACUCCGGAGCUCAACUUCGGAACUACUACUAAAACUGUUGGACUUGAGUGCAGGAGGGGCAAUCGGAAUUCCUAGUGUAGCGGUGGAAUGCGUAGAUAUCACGCAGAACCCCGAUUGCGAAGGUAGCCUGCCAAGCCAUGACUGACGCUGAUGCACGAAAGCGUGGGGAUCAAACAGGAUUAGAUACCCUAGUAGUC
This 443-nucleotide ribosomal RNA is filed under the name uncultured bacterium. Its description in RNAcentral is "partial 16S ribosomal RNA". It matches the Rfam family "Bacterial small subunit ribosomal RNA", at positions 338 to 795 of the family's 1533-position model. The record is from RNAcentral.